AAAAACAUUGUCAAAGGGUUCACCAAUCUCUGAUAACUCUGCCCAGUGAAAAUUUUUAACGGCCGCGGUACUCUGACCGUGCGAAGGUAGCACAAUAAUGAGCCUCCUAAUUAGGGGAUAGAAUGAAUGAACCAACAAGAAAAAAACUGUCUCUUUGAAUUUAACUCAAAUCUUAUCUCUAGGUGAAAAAGCCUAUAUUAACUACAAAGACAAAAAGACCCUAAAAGCUUAUAUAAAUAUCUCUAAAACGAACAGAUCUUAUUUGGUUGGGGCGACUUCAAGAAUCAAACACUUGAAAUAUAUAAAGGCAAUUACCUUUACCCAAGUAGCCCAAAACACUAAAGCAAGUUACUUUAGGGAUAACAGGCCAGUACUUCUUUAGAGUACAUAUCGACAGAAGUGCUCGGCACCUCGAUGUUGGCUUUGGGAUCCAGAUCCAUGCAGAAGUGAAUCAAAGGAGGUUUGUUCAACCUUUAAUCCCCUACAUGAUCUGA
RNAcentral lists this ribosomal RNA (494 nucleotides) under Syllis broomensis. Its description in RNAcentral is "partial 16S ribosomal RNA". It matches the Rfam family "Bacterial large subunit ribosomal RNA", at positions 1809 to 2608 of the family's 2925-position model. Lineage: Eukaryota; Metazoa; Annelida; Polychaeta; Phyllodocida; Syllidae. The record is from RNAcentral.